ACUCCUACGGGAGGCAGCAGUAGGGAAUCUUCCACAAUGGGCGCAAGCCUGAUGGAGCAACACCGCGUGAGUGAAGAAGGGUUUCGGCUCGUAAAGCUCUGUUGUUAAAGAAGAACACGUAUGAGAGUAACUGUUCAUACGUUGACGGUAUUUAACCAGAAAGUCACGGCUAACUACGUGCCAGCAGCCGCGGUAAUACGUAGGUGGCAAGCGUUAUCUGGAUUUAUUGGGCGUUAAAGAGAGUGCAGGUCGGUUUUACUAAGUCUGAUGUGAAACGCCUUUCGGCUUAACCGGAGAAGUGCAUCGGAAACUGGAUAACUUGAGUGCAGAAGAGGUUAGUGGAACUCCAUGUGUAGCGGUUGGAAUGCGUAGAUAUAUGG
RNAcentral lists this ribosomal RNA (380 nucleotides) under uncultured bacterium. RNAcentral's name for it is "bacterial SSU rRNA". It matches the Rfam family "Bacterial small subunit ribosomal RNA", at positions 335 to 701 of the family's 1533-position model. The record is from RNAcentral.